UCCAUGAUGGCGGGGGGGAGAACAAUGUCCGGGUCAUGGGAGGAGAGAGGAUGCGAGGUUGAAUAAGUUAGCAUAAUGAAAAACCAGGGCCCAUCUGUUACAGCCUGCGGGCACAGGUGAGCAUAAUCAGCUGACAACCCUCACGUGUAAGCUGACUGACUACUGAAGUUGACCAGAACAGCUCCAAGACAGUAGGAGAGUCACAAUAUCCACAACAAAAAGUCAUUCGUAUCGAUUUUGGAAUUUGGGAAAGUCUGAAGUAAAAGGGGGAAAAACAUUUUUAUCGUGUUCACAAACGCAAAAACAAAAUACUUUGGAUGGAGGAACGAUCAGAGACAAGGCCAGGGUCAGCUGUAACAUCUACGUCACUACAAAAAAACAAAUGGACUUAUAGGAAAUGUGGUGUUAACUUGUUGAAUCUGAUGCUAAAUUUUAAUUUAGCAUUACCUUUAUUGGUAGGAUUAUGGUAUAGGCACUGCAUGAACCAGAAACACAAUAUGGUUAUUGUGACUACUCAGAAAUGCCAUUAUCUGGUGUGUGGAUGCUACUUGUUCAGAGGUACUCUACAAAAAUGGGGUUAAUUAUGAGAACACUUUCAGCCAGAAACUGUGAAACUGUUUACCAUAAAUAUACAAAAGGUAGUGCGACAGAACCAAUGUAGAUGUUGCCACCUUUCACUGGAUCACAGCCUCCUAAAGUUGCAUUACCUUCCUGGCACUCUGGCGUCAAAACACAGCAGUGUGUAAUGCCGCUAUACCUUUGUGCUCACAGCCAUGUUUGUUUACUGUCCCUGAGCAGGGACACAUGAAAGUGGGGUGACCGGGUCUAUGGCCGUGACCCCGGCGACAAGAACAACCCCUGUCCCUGUAGGCACUGCCUUUCUCCCUCUCCUGCACCAAACACAGCUCGGCCCUGGUCUGUUGCCUCAGGAUGGGAGUCACAGGACUGUGCUUUGAAGAAGUGCACAGCAGGGCCACAUUCGGACCAACAAGAGCGGAGACAGUGUUCUGUGGAGACCUACUGUCAACACUAGGGACAGGAACUCACUUGAUGGCUGCGCUGAGCAGGAAGUUGAGCUGUGGCAUCACAAGCGUGUCAGGCGACGACAAGUACCGAUCAAACUGGACCUGUUGUUCGUGCAAGAGGGUUAAGAGCAGAAGAGCUGUCCAUGCUGGGAAGGAGGGACAAAGGGCCCUGAGACAGAAGAGGAAACAUCAUCUUAGAAUUCCACUCAAGGUCACAGUGUUGGAUCUCAGAACCAAACAAAAGUCAAGUGGCUGAGGUCCGUCAUUCAUUUAUUCAGCUGCCGUGAAUUCAGGCAUUUAGGCCAGAGUUUACCUGUGCAAAGUCAGCCUGGCGGGCAUCCAGAGGAACUACUGAUGAGUCGUGGGAGGCCAGCACCUCCCUGAGGAGGGACAGGGUCUGAGUGAGGGAGGCUGUAGGUCCCAGGUCUGCAGGAGGCAGCUCCACCUGCCAAGGCAGACAGGAUGAAAAGAAGAGACAGAGCAAAAGAGCAAAGUUAUUCUUGAAGAGAGUGACUUCAAAUACCUGAUGGUGUGGUGGUAGAACUUGAGCAGGUUGGACAGCUUAUAAAGCAGCACAGCACCUGGUUCAGCCACGAUGACCUGCUCUAUCCGAACCUGAGGGACAGAUCAACAAUACACCGAUGGCCUGCAGACUCCCUCGGUGAUGUGUCCGACCACCUCCUGCAUGUUCUCCUCCACAUCUAUUGUAAGAAGACACACACAAAUAUAGUCAGGGCUAUUUGGGAUUAAAUACAUCAACUGUUUUGAGGGUACUGUAGAUGUAAGCAUAUUAUUAAUGAAUACAAUAUUGGAGAAAAUGUCCUGUUUUCACUGUCAAAUUCUGUAUUUUUUGAGCCCUGCCUACAGAGCUCAAACUUUUUACAAGUCAGCUCCUACAUGAUUUGUUGGGAUUGAGAUGAUUAACAAAAUUAAUUUCAGAAAACGACCUCAAAAUUAUGUAAGGAGAUAAAUGCUGAUACUCGAUAGAAGUAACUGGUGUAAUAGCUCAGCAUAACAAACUGGACAAAAGGCCAGCCCAGGUCUUGACUGAUCUGUGUUUAUUCUUUACAGCUAUGUGAACCAAAGAAGGUAAAUUAGGGAAACAAGCACAGGAUUAGUCUAUCAGGCUGAACUAAAUGUGCUGGAAUUUGAUUUGUUCACACUCUUUAACCUAAAUCUCUAAACUCAUUGUAUGACUGUGGUUACCCAAACUCUGUCCAAUAAACAAGCUACUCGUGA
Long non-coding RNA from Epinephelus moara (kelp grouper), 2264 nucleotides. RefSeq lists it as uncharacterized. Lineage: Eukaryota; Metazoa; Chordata; Actinopteri; Perciformes; Serranidae. The record is from RefSeq and is a predicted model, not a curated record. The transcript has 6 exons.